CGCAUCUGUGCAUGCAGCAUAUCAAUAAGCGGAGGAAAAAGAAACUAACAAGGAUUCCCUUAGUAACGGCGAGUGAAGCGGGAAGAGCUCAAAUUUGAAAUCUUCAAGGUUUUACCUUGACGAAUUGUAGUUUAAAGAAGUGUUUUUCUGUUGAAGUUUUGGUAAAAGUUCUUUGGAAUAGGACAUCAUAGAGGGUGAGAAUCCCGUAUUUGACCAUUAUUUUUCAGCUGUGUGAUACACUUUCAAAGAGUCGGAUUGUUUGGGAAUGCAGUCCAAAAUGGGUGGUAAAUUUCAUCUAAAGCUAAAUAUUGGCGAGAGACCGAUAGCGAACAAGUACCGUGAGGGAAAGAUGAAAAGAACUUUGAAAAGAGAGUUAAACAGUACGUGAAAUUGUCAAAAGGGAAGCGUUUGACACCAGUGUUGUUUUUCUCGAAAAUCAAUUAAAAAGAGUUUAGAUUUUGUUGUGUAUUGACCUUAACAGCUUGCAUUUCAAUUUUCUUGCUUUUUUUUAAUGCACUUUUCGUUUAACAAGUCAACAUUCAGUUUCUUUUGUUGUAAAAAGGUCAUUGGAAGGUGGCUUUCUUUUCGGAGAAAGUGUUUAUAGCCUUUGACUCCUGCAAUCGGAGAGGACUGAGGUCUGCAGCGUAGAUCCUUCGGGGUUAGAUACAUUUGUGCUAAGUUAUAGCUUUUUAUAGACAACUUGUUGACUAUGAUUAGUCUUGUAGCUUACUCGCUUAUGCUAUUUUACCUACGCUUAGGAUGUUGAACUCUAUCACACACAG
RNAcentral lists this ribosomal RNA (782 nucleotides) under uncultured Neocallimastigales. RNAcentral describes it as "partial large subunit ribosomal RNA". It matches the Rfam family "Eukaryotic large subunit ribosomal RNA", at positions 26 to 621 of the family's 3401-position model. Lineage: Eukaryota; Fungi; Neocallimastigomycota; Neocallimastigomycetes; Neocallimastigales. The record is from RNAcentral.